GCAAACUUGGUCAUUUAGAGGAAGUAAAAGUCGUAACAAGGUUUCCGUAGGUGAACCUGCGGAAGGAUCAUUAACAAAUCAACAAACAACCCUGUGUCCAUGUCUUCUUUCCCCUUAUGUUUUGUGUGAUGAGAUAGUAUCAUCAUAUGUGAUAGUGUUGUGUGUAUACUUAUAUGCCAAGUGUAUAUAUGUAGCUCACUGACAUCUAUCAGAUGUGCUGAAUAAGAUCUCUAUCACCAUCUAUAAGGGGAGAGUUUAUCAUCUUUAUUGACUAUGAUUGACAAGCCUUAGCAGAUCAUUAUAAAAAUGUUAUUAAACAACUUUUAACAAUGGAUCUCUUGGCUCUUGCAUCGAUGAAGAACGCAGC
This 367-nucleotide unclassified non-coding RNA is filed under the name uncultured fungus. RNAcentral's name for it is "partial contains small subunit ribosomal RNA, internal transcribed spacer 1, and 5.8S ribosomal RNA". The stretch from base 1 to 73 matches the Rfam family "Eukaryotic small subunit ribosomal RNA", at positions 1759 to 1831 of the family's 1831-position model. The record is from RNAcentral. Lineage: Eukaryota; Fungi.